This 74-nucleotide ribosomal RNA is filed under the name Streptomyces albidoflavus. Its description in RNAcentral is "partial 23S ribosomal RNA". The record is from RNAcentral. Lineage: Bacteria; Bacillati; Actinomycetota; Actinomycetes; Kitasatosporales; Streptomycetaceae.
GUCGUUGAAAUACCACUCUGGUCGUGCUGGAUGUCUAACCUGGGUCCGUGAUCCGGAUCAGGGACACGGGCCGG